GAUCCUAGCUUGCUAGGAGGCGUCGAGCGGCGGACGGGUGAGUAAUGCAUAGGAAUCUGCCCGGUAGUGGGGGAUAACCUGGGGAAACCCAGGCUAAUACCGCAUACGCCCUACGGGGGAAAGCAGGGGAUCUUCGGACCUUGCGCUAUCGGAUGAGCCUAUGUCGGAUUAGCUAGUUGGUGAGGUAACGGCUCACCAAGGCUGCGAUCCGUAGCUGGUCUGAGAGGAUGAUCAGCCACAUCGGGACUGAGACACGGCCCGAACUCCUACGGGAGGCAGCAGUGGGGAAUAUUGGACAAUGGGCGAAAGCCUGAUCCAGCCAUGCCGCGUGUGUGAAGAAGGCCUUCGGGUUGUAAAGCACUUUCAGUGAGGAAGAAAGCCUUGAGGUUAAUACCCUCGAGGGAGGACAUCACUCACAGAAGAAGCACCGGCUAACUCCGUGCCAGCAGCCGCGGUAAUACGGAGGGUGCGAGCGUUAAUCGGAAUUACUGGGCGUAAAGCGCGCGUAGGCGGCUUGAUAAGCCGGUUGUGAAAGCCCCGGGCUCAACCUGGGAACGGCAUCCGGAACUGUCAGGCUAGAGUGCAGGAGAGGAAGGUAGAAUUCCCGGUGUAGCGGUGAAAUGCGUAGAGAUCGGGAGGAAUACCAGUGGCGAAGGCGGCCUUCUGGACUGACACUGACGCUGAGGUGCGAAAGCGUGGGUAGCAAACAGGAUUAGAUACCCUGGUAGUCCACGCCGUAAACGAUGUCGACUAGCCGUUGGGCUCCUU
RNAcentral lists this ribosomal RNA (768 nucleotides) under proteobacterium 5AC08. Its description in RNAcentral is "bacterial SSU rRNA". It matches the Rfam family "Bacterial small subunit ribosomal RNA", at positions 71 to 833 of the family's 1533-position model. Lineage: Bacteria; Pseudomonadati; Pseudomonadota. The record is from RNAcentral.